This 25-nucleotide non-coding RNA is filed under the name Rattus norvegicus (Norway rat). Lineage: Eukaryota; Metazoa; Chordata; Mammalia; Rodentia; Muridae. The record is from RNAcentral.
UGACUUAAUGCUUGGAGGAGCCUGU